This 236-nucleotide ribosomal RNA is filed under the name uncultured bacterium. Its description in RNAcentral is "partial 16S ribosomal RNA". It matches the Rfam family "Bacterial small subunit ribosomal RNA", at positions 98 to 334 of the family's 1533-position model. The record is from RNAcentral.
CCGCACGGGUGAGUAACACGUAUCCAGCCUGCCGUCUACUCUUGGACAGCCUUCUGAAAGGAAGAUUAAUACAAGAUGGCAUCAUGAGUCCGCAUGUUCACAUGAUUAAAGGUAUUCCGGUAGACGAUGGGGAUGCGUUCCAUUAGAUAGUAGGCGGGGUAACGGCCCACCUAGUCUUCGAUGGAUAGGGGUUCUGAGAGGAAGGUCCCCCACAUUGGAACUGAGACACGGUCCAA